Odocoileus virginianus texanus is the source of this 1060-nucleotide long non-coding RNA. RefSeq lists it as uncharacterized. The record is from RefSeq and is a predicted model, not a curated record. Lineage: Eukaryota; Metazoa; Chordata; Mammalia; Artiodactyla; Cervidae.
CUUUUAUUUAAAGUAUGUACUUUCCUCCUUUAGACCAAAGCAUCCAUCCUUAAGGUAUGAUGACAGGUCUCCUACAACCAAGACUUCCUUCCCUCUAUGUCAUGUUUACUUGUUUACAGCCCCCUUUAUAAAGAGAACCUGGAUCCCUCUCUCCCAGGGGACAGGCAAUGGUCCCAGAUCAUUGUUACCCUUCCAAGUAUGCCCACACUGUCUCAUUACUGGGUCCUCAGCCUUGCCAGCAUUUUGGAGUGGAAUGGUAGGUAGGGACACUGCCAGGUGAGUCAGAUCUCCAAAUCAGUCCCUGUUUCUGGGCCCUGCCUGACCCAGAACCUGUGCUCCUCAGGAGUGCAGUGUACUUCGUCUCUUCUGGAGCUUUCCCUGCAAGGCUGCAGACACUGAUCGGGGAGCCAGGGACAUGGGGGAUGGAGGUUUCUCACCCCAUCCCCCAUUCUGACGUCACAGGCCUCAUUUUCUGACACUAAAUGGUUGCCAUGGAAACAAGUUCCUUAAAGUGCACGAUGACUUGAGUGGGGAGGGAGGGCCAUAGGAGCCAGUCAUACCAUGAGGAAUCCACAGAGCCCCUCAGAAUCAAGCUGCUCAGAGUCCAUAUCCUCUGCUGUAGGGAGACGCCCCGAGCUAGCAGAGCCAGCCGUGCCGGGAGUGGGAGCCGGAGCCUGAACCGGAGCUGACGCAUGAGCGAGCGCUGGAGCAGGCGGUGGAGCCCGGGCUGGAGCCGCGCGAAGCUCAGCCUGCGGAGGAGGGAGGACGCCAACCGGAGUGGAAGCCCGGGCAGGACCAGCGUGUGGUCCCAGAACGGGGUCUGAUGGAAGGCGGGAGGAGAGGGGGGCGCGAGAGCCUGGGAUGCGGACCAGGAGUCGCUCUCAAAUCCUCCAUCCGCCAGGCCAGCCCAGAGCGAGGCCCGCUCUGGAGGGAGGGCUGGGCUAGACCUUCAGAGGCUGGAAAGCUUGAACCGGCUCUCCAAUGGACCCCACCCCGCCCCCAUUGUAUAAUUCAGUGCGAAACCGGACAAUAAAUGUCACAGUUUUAAUUUUUCCCGUGA